Apis laboriosa (Himalayan honeybee) is the source of this 192-nucleotide long non-coding RNA. RefSeq lists it as uncharacterized. Lineage: Eukaryota; Metazoa; Arthropoda; Insecta; Hymenoptera; Apidae. The record is from RefSeq and is a predicted model, not a curated record. The transcript is spliced from 3 exons.
CAACAUGAAUCAACCAUUAAGAUACUUCUUCUGUUUGUUUAUUUUUCUUAUAUCAGCCUAUGUCCUUAUUCCAGCUGAAGCACGUGUAAUAUGCAAUUGUAACUCACUCUUACCAGAGCAUGCUUUCUGCCUCGAUUGCGAUCGAAGAGGAACAAAAUAAUAUAUAUUACAAUUCAAUAAUGAAAUCUAUGA